GAGGAAGAAAACAUUAAGUAAAUUUAAAUUAAUUCUGAAACCUAUUUUAUUGUUUAAGUUUCUCCCAAGACACUGUUGGUAUCUGGUGUAUUUUGUAACCCCAGCGCCUGGCAUAGUCCCCAGUAGUGGCUCACCAGGUCAUGUUAAAUGUAAGGAAUGUUGGGGCUAGUGUCCAGGCUUUGACGACUGAUCUGUCUCAGUCACACUUUACGCAGGAUCUAUGGACUCAGAUACUCUUAUGAGAAUUUUGAAAGGGGAAGAAAAUUCCAAGCACUAAAUACCCCGGACUUGACUGUAUGAUGCUAAGAUCCUAAAGAUCUGAGAUGCUGUUGGUAUCUGAAAUGAAAAGUUGAAUUGUUCUGCUUCUGGUCAAAGAGUUUAUCAUGUAUAUCUUGUCCCCUAGGGGUUUCCUUUUAAUGAAAUGUGCAGGUAACAGAUGAGUUUUGGUGGGUGGCUAAGAGAGAUGCUUUCUACCAACAUGGUUCAGGAGUCUGCAUUAGAUCUUCCUGGCACCAAAUGCUCCUUGCAUGAUGGGUCUUGAGUAUGAGAGAGAACAGGCAUCUCUCGACAGAGGAAGUCAUAGGACUUUCCUACCAUUGGUCUCCAUAAAAUUAAGUGUACACAGCAGAGGAUGCCUGCUCAGAAGCACAGAAGGUUAGGCCUGGGGUUUUUCUCCUGCCGGAGUUAGCUCUUCCUGGGUUCCUGGAGAACUUCCCUGUCUUCUGAGAUGUUCAGAUGUCUAGAAUCCACACCUUUGCUGCUCCACACCCCCAAUCAGCGAGCUACCCAAUUACAUUAGCAAGUGAAUUUCCUUUCAUAUAUGAAACUUCCCAUGUCCUUCUCCUGUCCUCUUCUCUCUUCCCCUGCCCUUCUCGCCUAUUUCUCCCUUCUCCUAUUCUUCUCCCUUUCCUCUUUCCCAAUCUCUCUCUUUUCCCCUUGCCCUCCCAUCCCUCUUUCCUUCCCUUUCUACUCCUCUCCUUCCUCAUCCAUCCUCCAUUGUCUUGAUUGAUAGAAAAUGCCAUGGUGGAAUCUUUGGGGUCAUUCAUACUUGAUUCUACCAGACUUUGAUACAAAACCCCUCAGAAGCCUAGAAAGUCAUCAGUCAUUUUUGGAUAACAUAUAACCAAUGAUCUAUUACCCUCUUCUUGGAAACAGGCUUCCAGACAACUAAAGGGUCAAGGAGAAAACCAAGGUGAGUUUGACUAUGUCAUAGCAUGGAAUGUUGAGAGAAAAGCUAUCUAUAUAUUAUGGAGGUAAUGGUGAGUCACAGUCUUUCCAACAAAUCAGAUCUUAUAUCAUGGAUGCCUCCAUUUAACAAAUGUUACUGCUGAUUUAUCAGUAGACAGACAAAAUCCAGCAUCUUUAUUGAGCUAAAAAAUGGACAGUGAGUGAAUUAUUGUGCUAUGUUGAUUCUGGAGAGCAAAAUGCUUUACAUUAGUACCUCCAAAGCUGGGAUGCAGUCUAUGGUCACCAGCAUCUUACAGUUAAUAUUGGCCAGCUAGUCUUUAGGUCAUUGUUGUUGUAUAAGACUGCACUAACCUGGCACACUCUGUGUAUAUUAUUGCUACCUGGCCUC
RNAcentral lists this long non-coding RNA (1576 nucleotides) under Mus musculus (house mouse). RNAcentral's name for it is "long non-coding RNA chr2:3806848-3808424". Lineage: Eukaryota; Metazoa; Chordata; Mammalia; Rodentia; Muridae. The record is from RNAcentral.